This 512-nucleotide ribosomal RNA is filed under the name uncultured bacterium. Its description in RNAcentral is "partial 16S ribosomal RNA". It matches the Rfam family "Bacterial small subunit ribosomal RNA", at positions 29 to 523 of the family's 1533-position model. The record is from RNAcentral.
AACGAACGCUGGCGGCAGGCUUAACACAUGCAAGUCGAGCGCACAGAUGAAGUGCUUGCACUUCUGACGUUAGCGGCGAACGGGUGAGUAACACGUAAGGAAUCUACCUAUAAGCGGGGGAUAACAUUCGGAAACGGGUGCUAAUACCGCAUAAUAUCUUCUUCCGCAGGGAAGAAGAUUGAAAGACGGCUCUGCUGUCACUUAUAGAUGACCUUGCGGUGCAUUAGUUAGUUGGGGGGGUAGGGCCUACCAAGACGAUGAUGCAUAGCCGACCUAGGAGGGUGAUCGGCCACAUUGGGACGGAGACACGGCCCAAACUCCUACGGGAGGCAGCAGUAGGGAAUCUUCCGCAAUGGGCGAAAGCCUGACGGAGCAACGCCGCGUGAGUGAUGAAGGGUUUCGGCUCGUAAAACUCUGUUAUUAGGGAAGAACAAAUGUGUAAGUAACUGUGCACAUCUUGACGGUACCUAAUCAGAAAGCCACGGCUAACUACGUGCCAGCAGCCGCGGUAA